AAAAUAUUUUUUUCACCUUAUAAAGUAAGGGAAUUAUAAAUAUUGACAAAUAUAAAUCUUGACUAAAGAAAUAAAGAGAUGUUAGAUGCAAAGAGAUUCACAGUCUUCAAGUUCUAAACUUCAAGAAUCAGAUUGUUUUUUUGAGUUUGGCUUAUAUAUGUGUGUAAUUUUUGCAUUUUUUUCUGAAUAUAAACUUUAGAACAAUAAGUGAAAGAUCGCAAUUGAUUGCACAUUAGAAAAGCAAGUCCUGAUAUUUAACUACAAGAAUUUGCUAAAUGUUUUCAAUCUGCAAUAUGUAUGGAACUACAACGCCUUUUUUACGAUAAAAUAAAUGGUCUUUUUCAGCUGUGCUAAUAAUUAUUUGGAUGAAAUAAUGUCAAAAUGUGUUCUACAAUUGUUUAAGAAGACUGGAACUUAUGGAAAUAGAUCAUUUUGAAAAAACUUCAUUGAGUAGAGUAAUUAUAGGAACAUUAAUGUCACAAACAACAAAAUUUGAUUUGGUCGAUAAGUUGAAAGGCAAUUGUUUGAAGAGAAUAAUAGAAUACACUGGAAAAAUAAAUGUGUAGUUUUGAUACACAAAAAUUUGUGUAGUUUUAUUUUCACACAAUGAUGUGUAGAAUUAACACAAAAUUGUGUAGCCGCCAUUUUAAUAAGACACGUUCGUGUUAGCGGUUUCGUUUUGGAGGGAAAUCGAUUUCGAAGUUCAAACAAAGAAAAGAAAAGAAAUAUUUUUGUUUUUUUCGGUACGAAGCAUUUUUUGUUACAAUAUGUUUAAAAAUAAUACCUUGGUGUUAUAAUAUAAAAGAGUAGUUGAAUCUUUUGUUUUUAUUUGCUGUUCUUUAUUCACAUUUCUAUACUUUCACUCAAUAUACAUGCUGAAUUAAUUGGUGCACAAAUAUAAUAGAUACAAAUGUGUAAAUGUAACUAAG
Molecule: long non-coding RNA, 929 nt
Organism: Hydra vulgaris (swiftwater hydra)
Lineage: Eukaryota; Metazoa; Cnidaria; Hydrozoa; Anthoathecata; Hydridae
Source: RefSeq, a predicted model, not a curated record